UCCAGGUCAAAAUCAACAAGACCAUCUGUGAAUUAAGGCGCCUGUUCCUGGUCCAGGACCUGGUGGACUCCAUCAAGCCUGGUGAAGCAGACGUGGAUGACUCGUGUUCACUGCCAGCUCCACUGCGACCCGGUUCUUCUGCCCACAGGAAACUGCAGAGGGUCUGAGGCAGAAUUUUUCCCAGCAGUCAGUGCUGCUGGAGGCCUGACCAGCCUAAUGACAGACGUCACCCAUUUCUUCUGUCACGUAGCAAAAUGCUAAUAUCAAAACCAAAAAAGAAGGGAUGGACAGCAGAGCCUGUAAAGGGUUGGAGCCGGGAGUGAUGUCACCGGUGUGGCGCCUGCAGGCUGUGGUCUGACACGUGCUGACCUGGUGUUGUCUGGGCUGAGGAACGUGACUGCAGCGGGUCUCACUGGAAGGUGGCCUUCACCCUCCUCAGUGUGUCCUGGAUCCUCCGCGACUGACGCUCACUCGACUGCUGGAAGUUGGCAUCGUUGUCGGCAGCCAAGAGGUGGAUGUCGGAGGUGGCAAGUCGGGCGAUGCGGCGGCGAAGGUAGGCCUGCAGGUCCCGGUCUGGGCUGUAGGGGUACGCCACCUCCUGGAAGGCAUGGACCUGGCUGACAACCUUUGCUAUCCUCCUAGAAGCAAUGAUGGAUGGACAGAAACGGGGACACAUUAGAAGUCGCACAUUGUACCUGUUUUAUUCUGAGCAGCAGCUUCAGCUCUGUCUGUGACCUGAUUUGGACGGAGCUGGGCUAACAGCGUCCACGGCAACCAGCUGUGUCUCUGCUGGAUCUCCUGACCCCAGCAUCUGGCUGCACCCAGUCACCUCUCAGUAUCUGGCCUGAAACCUCUUUCUCAAUCAAACCCCUUCCCACAGGCGCCAUCUGCUGCAGCGCUGGCCCCCUACCAUCAACCCAGAUUCAACAGCUGUGCCACCGCCGUCCCACCGCCACUCGUUGUGACCUCAGCAUCUGGUCAGCCAUAUUGGAAUGUGGAAGGACACAGAAACGUGUCCUCUCAGUGAGAUGGCCAACUUUAUGCAGGAUGUGUGAAAUAAUUUAGAGUUAAUGACGCCAACAGUUUGUGUUUUUUGUGUUGGUACCAGGCUAAUUUCAGUGGAUGGAUGUUUGACAAGC
Parambassis ranga (Indian glassy fish) is the source of this 1139-nucleotide long non-coding RNA. NCBI's taxonomy places the organism in Eukaryota, Metazoa, Chordata, Actinopteri, Ambassidae. The record is from Ensembl.